GAUGAACGCUGGCGGCGUGCCUAAUACAUGCAAGUCGAGCGAACAGACGAGGAGCUUGCUCCUCUGACGUUAGCGGCGGACGGGUGAGUAACACGUGGAUAACCUACCUAUAAGACUGGGAUAACUUCGGGAAACCGGAGCUAAUACCGGAUAAUAUAUUGAACCGCAUGGUUCAAUAGUGAAAGACGGUUUUGCUGUCACUUAUAGAUGGAUCCGCGCCGCAUUAGCUAGUUGGUAAGGUAACGGCUUACCAAGGCAACGAUGCGUAGCCGACCUGAGAGGUUUAUCGGCCACACUGGAACUGAGACACGGUCCAGACUCCUACGAGAGGCAGCAUUAGGGAAUCUUCCGCAAUGGGCGAAAGCCUGACAAAGCAACGCCGCGUGAGUGAUGAAGGUCUUCGGAUCGUAAAACUCUGUUAUUAGGGAAGAACAAAUGUGUAAGUAACUAUGCACGUCUUGACGGUACCUAAUCAGAAAGCCACGGCUAACUACGUG
This 497-nucleotide ribosomal RNA is filed under the name uncultured bacterium. RNAcentral's name for it is "partial 16S ribosomal RNA". It matches the Rfam family "Bacterial small subunit ribosomal RNA", at positions 28 to 507 of the family's 1533-position model. The record is from RNAcentral.